This 502-nucleotide ribosomal RNA is filed under the name Vibrio metschnikovii. RNAcentral's name for it is "bacterial SSU rRNA". It matches the Rfam family "Bacterial small subunit ribosomal RNA", at positions 819 to 1320 of the family's 1533-position model. Lineage: Bacteria; Pseudomonadati; Pseudomonadota; Gammaproteobacteria; Vibrionales; Vibrionaceae. The record is from RNAcentral.
GGAGGUUGUGGCCUUGAGCCGUGGCUUUCGGAGCUAACGCGUUAAGUAGACCGCCUGGGGAGUACGGUCGCAAGAUUAAAACUCAAAUGAAUUGACGGGGGCCCGCACAAGCGGUGGAGCAUGUGGUUUAAUUCGAUGCAACGCGAAGAACCUUACCUACUCUUGACAUCUACAGGAUCCUGCGGAGACGCGGGAGUGCCUUCGGGAACUGUAAGACAGGUGCUGCAUGGCUGUCGUCAGCUCGUGUUGUGAAAUGUUGGGUUAAGUCCCGCAACGAGCGCAACCCUUAUCCUUGUUUGCCAGCACGUAAUGGUGGGAACUCCAGGGAGACUGCCGGUGAUAAACCGGAGGAAGGUGGGGACGACGUCAAGUCAUCAUGGCCCUUACGAGUAGGGCUACACACGUGCUACAAUGGCGCAUACAGAGGGCAGCAAGCUAGCGAUAGUGAGCGAAUCCCAAAAAGUGCGUCGUAGUCCGGAUUGGAGUCUGCAACUCGACUCCA